UAACACCAACGCUUAAUUGCGUAUGAUACAAAAUUUGAUCAAAAUCCUCUUUACCCAAUGGCUCGGCAUACUCAAAACCAAAAAUAGCUCCAUCCAUAGGUAUUAAACGAACACAUCCAUCCGAAAUAUCUGUCGUUUCUAAAUAUGUAUGGAGGCACGCUCUAUACUUGGAAGGAUUUUUCUUUUUAGCCCCGGUCCUCUUGGAAAUUUCAGUCUUCUUAGCAACAGGAAUCUAAAUAUCAUAUAAUUAGUAAGGUGAAGUGUAAGAUGACGAAUUAACAGGAAUCUAAAUAGCAUAUAAUUGUGAUGUACCUCUUUUUGCGAUGCAACUGACUCGAUUUCCCGCGCAAUCCCCUUAUCUUUUGCUUUGGAUUUUGUGGGAGUCUAAUUAACAUUAACAUGUAAAAAAUGUGUACGUAAAAUGCGCGUAAAAAAUUUGAAUACCUAAAGGUUCAUAAUGGUUUUAAGCAUACCUCAUAUCCUACGAUAAUGAGGUCUGUCGGCCAUGCAACAAAUGAACCUAUGGCAUCUCCCAAUAAAGUUGCAUCCGAAACAUCGUCAGGAUGUGGUAAUAACGCAUCCUUCUCCAAAGCAAUAUCAACCGAGACUUUCAAAGAUCCAGUAGGGAGCGGUUUAGUGUGAAGUAAUUCACCCAAAUUGUUAUGAACUUUCCCCUUGCCAACCAUCCGAUAAGUCGGUCUCGCUAAGUAGAGGUGACAAGGUGAAAUGCCCUAAAACCAAUAAUAAAUAUGACAUUUUUAAUGUGUAUAUAUGACAAUUAAAUAAAUUAAGCUAAUUUAAUUUCAUAAUAAGAUAUAUAAUUACCUCUGGAAUAGUCGGUUGAAAAUUACAAUUGAUACUAUCUUUGUCACUAGUAUCUUUAAAACCCGCUGCUCGAUCUCUUUCUCUUUCCUUUCUUAAUUCAAGAACUUCAGCUUUUAAUGCUUCCAAAGUUUGCUGCAGUUCUUUAUUGCUAGGAGUCUUUUGUUUUUUAAUAUUCAAGGAUUUUUGAGUGAUCCCAAAUCCCUUGCCCCUCACCCGACCAGAAUACUCGGGAACAUCUAAUGCUCGACUCAGUAUGCUCCUGCAAUCAGUGUCUUCAUAUGGAACUAUAGAUUGAGAUAGAGUCUCCUGAAAAUCAUAUGAACAUACACACAAUAGUAAUGUUAUUGUCUUAAGUAAGUGUCAAAGUCAAAGUGUUCGAAAUUGGACGAUUCAAAAGUGUCAAAGUCAAAGUGUUAUUGUCUUAAAUAAUGCUAUACUUACACAUUUCUCAAAUAUUUGUUGAACGUCUUCUUUAAUCUUUCCAUCCUUACCGACACGGGCUUCCUUCCACAAAACAUGUGCCGGAAGAGAUGUUUCAGAACUAUUCUCCUUUGUUAACUACACAUUAAGCAUAAUAUGAUCAAAUAUAACUCAUGACAAAAUAUGAUCAAAUAUAACAAGUAUAUCAAUGCAAUUUAUAGAUACUUACUAUAGACUGCUCUAAGCGUCCAUAUCCAACACGCCCUUUUCUAUAGGGAUACGCCGGACUUGAUGCUCUUUGCCGGUUUGUUUCACUUACACUCUUAAAUUCUUGGGUUUUUCGUUUGGAUUUAAACGUUUCCCAUUCUUUAGGUGAAAUCAAACUUGCAUAUUUAGAUGGAAGCUCUGCAUCAACAAAAGUACCUUCCGUAUCCCUAAGAAAGGUGGUUGAUAAAAAGGUUCUAAACCCUCUUAGUAACUUUCCGGCCAAUUUGAGACAAUGAUCUCUUCUGUUUUCUUCGAUGUCGAAACACCUCUACGAAAAACAUACACACAUUGCGUUAGUACAAUUAAUUUAAAGACAUAAUCGUCAUUAAAAACAAAUAACAUCACAUAUGGUACCUUUAUCUCACUCCAUAUUUUGUCUUUAGCUUCGUUCAAUUGUUUAUUUCUCCAAUUAUCACAAGUAAUUGGAACUUCAUUCCUUACCAAUGCACCAAUAAAACUUGUCAAUGUUGAACCGUUAGGCUCAAUUAGUUGUCCACCUUCGUUCCAAUGCACUUUUAUUAAAACGCCUCGAUCUCUAUCUCGAAUAACUUUCUUCAUAACCGUUAUUCCACGUUUAAUUUCCCUUUCCGCACCACCAACGGUCUCAUCACCAUGUGGGUGAUCCUCGUUACUAGCCAUCUGUAAUAAAGAAAAACAUAAACACAAUAUUAAGCAAAUAUGAAUACAAAUCAAGUAAGUGUCAAAGUCAAAGUGUAUUGAAUUGGACGAAAAUUACAUGGUAGCCUACAAACGGGCCAAAGGACUCAAAAAUGAACUCGAUUCGUCCAAAUUCCGAGUGGAAGCAUGUUUUUUGUAACAGUACAGCAACAGUAAAAUCAGGGAAAAAGUUGUCCGAAUCGAAAAACAAAGUAUACCAUUGGCUCCGGAAUCGUGGAGAAAGNGCUGGCAUAGGGGGGUUUAGACAGCGCUUUUUCAGUAAAAGCGCUGUCUAAGACUCCAAAUUUUGGAGGAUCUUUUUAUACGUUUUCACCACAUUAUUUAGCACCUGUAAAUUGCAAAUUUCAGCAGAUUUUCAUAAAUUGGAGCUUGAAUCCAAUCUAUAUGCACCUUAUAGUUCAACACAUUGUAGUUCUAUCUUCUGAAUAUGCACAUAUACUUGAAAAUCUAUAUGCAUUAUAAACACAUUAUAGUUCAACACAAUAUACUUCUAAUUUCAGCAGUUUUUGAGUAUUUAUAUAUAUACUUGAAAAUGUUUGCCUUUACAAAAAAUCUACACAUUUCUAAUAACCUCCAAAAAUGCUAAUCAAAAUGUAUUUCAACACAUUCUAGUUCUAUCUUCUAAAUAUGCUAUAUAACCUGAAACAACACCAAAUAAAGAUUGUAGUAAGCAAAUGGAAUUCACUCAAAGUUAUUCAGAUCACAUUCAAAAUUAAAGUAAGAGUUCCAUACCUCAAAAAACCUGUAGCUCGAUAAUGAAUUGACACAAUUCUCUUUAAUUUCAUCCAACUGAUCUUUUGAGUAAUGCACAUCUAUAUUCAUCAAAGUACUACAUAAUAAUAUAACAUAGUAUGAUUUAGUUUAAUCUAUUUAAUAUGAGAAAUAUGUGUUAAAUAUGAAAAUAACUCAUAAGUUAGAAAUCCAUACAUCAGAUGGAAUAUCUGUUCGAUCCAUAAGAAGAGUUUCUUUCAUAAACCUCACGUGUAAUAUCCACAAUCUAUAUUAUUACGCUGUCGAGGACACUACACAUGGAAAAACAAUAUGGAUAAAUAUCCUAAGUUUUAUCAUGUGUCAUCACUAAUAUAAUCAAAAUUGUGAUAAUUAUAUACCUCCACUCUAUUCCAUGUAAUGUUAUUGGCUUUUCUCUUUGGUACUUGAAUUUUCUUUGUGCUCGAACAGUUUGUAUAAUGCUAUAAUGAAUAAUAAACGAAUAUUAGAACAAUUCACAUAAAUAAAUAAGUAUACACACGAAUAUUGGGUUAUUUGCACUUACGUGUCAACUAUCGUCUUCAUAGCAGGGUAUGUUGUCCAAUCAUUGUGUAAAGAAUCCAAAUAAUACACAAUUUCUUUAAAAGGAUUUAUCGCGACCAACAACCAAUGUUCCACUGUAAUAAACAAAUGUUAGAUGGAAACUUUCUACACGACGUCAAAAUAUGAAAAUUAUAACAGAUGAAUUUAGAUUGAAGAACUAACCCGUCGCCGGUAUUAAACGGUAAAAAGAACAACUUUUCUCUAUCUGUGUCGGCCAUAAAGCGCUCGACUACAUACGUCCUGACUUCAUCUGGUUUUCUUAUCAUUUCGGUUAAGUUCGUUUUCAUGGUAUUAAGAAUGAGAAUCUUUGCUCCAACCACGCGGACCCAUCAAUUUGUCAUAUAAUACCUUAUAUAAAACAUCAUUUACAUUUAGACUAUUCAUAUGAAACGAGUAAAUAACUUGUUCAAGAAUUUAAACAAAGUAGAUCGGAUAUACCUCAUGUUAUGUGUUGAUAACACCAACGCUUAAUUGCGUAUGAUACAAAAUUUGAUCAAAAUCCUCUUUACCCAAUGGCUCGGCAUACUCAAAACAAAAAUAGCUCCAUCCAUAGGUAUUAAACGAACACAUCCAUCCGAAAUAUCUGUCGUUUCUAAAUAUGUAUUGGAGGCACGCUCUAUACUUGGAAGGAUUUUUCUUUUUAGCCCCGGUCCUCUGAAAAUUUCAGUCUUCUUAGCAACAGGAAUCUAAAUAUCAUAUAAUUAGUAAGGUGAAGUGUAAGAUGACGAAUUAACAGGAAUCUAAAUAGCAUAUAAUUGUGAUGUACCUCUUUUUGCGAUGCAACUGACUCGAUUUCCCGCGCAAUCCCCUUAUCUUUUGCUUUGGAUUUUGUGGG
Molecule: long non-coding RNA, 4336 nt
Filed under: Lathyrus oleraceus (garden pea)
Lineage: Eukaryota; Viridiplantae; Streptophyta; Magnoliopsida; Fabales; Fabaceae
Description: Pisum sativum (pea) long non-coding RNA (PSAT_LNC038349)
Source: RNAcentral